Molecule: unclassified non-coding RNA, 170 nt
Filed under: fungal sp.
Lineage: Eukaryota; Fungi
Description: partial internal transcribed spacer region
Rfam family: Eukaryotic small subunit ribosomal RNA (bases 1-46)
Source: RNAcentral
AACUCGUAACAAGGUUUCCGUAGGUGAACCUGCGGAAGGAUCAUUAACACGUAUCCAAACGUAAAAAACCCCCCCGUGAACAUUCAAUCCUGCUCUUGUAACCCGCGUCGUUCGCAAUCUCUGGUAAAUCAUAGCCCGAACAACUGUUAACAAUGAAUAUCUUGGUUCUC